This is a non-coding RNA of Podarcis lilfordi (Lilford's wall lizard), 71 nucleotides long. The record is from the annotation of a GenBank genome assembly. NCBI's taxonomy places the organism in Eukaryota, Metazoa, Chordata, Lepidosauria, Squamata, Lacertidae.
CCAUAGCUCAGUGGUAGAGCGCUUGCUUUGCAUGCAGAAGGUCUUGAGUUUAAUCCCUGGUAUCGUCAGGU